UUACGGCCACAUCACGUUGAAACACAGGUUCCCAGUAUGAUUACCGAAGUUAACCAACGUUGAUCCUGGUCACUACCUAGAUGGGUGACUGCUUGGGAAUACCAGGUGCUGUAAG
Molecule: ribosomal RNA, 115 nt
Filed under: Acanthosepion pharaonis
Lineage: Eukaryota; Metazoa; Mollusca; Cephalopoda; Sepiida; Sepiidae
Source: RNAcentral